This 196-nucleotide unclassified non-coding RNA is filed under the name plant metagenome. RNAcentral describes it as "partial contains small subunit ribosomal RNA, internal transcribed spacer 1, and 5.8S ribosomal RNA". The record is from RNAcentral.
UCUCCGUUGGUGAACCAGCGAGGGAUCAUUACCGAGUGCAAACUCAUAACCCUUUGUGGACCUAUAUCUGUUGCUUCGGCGGCUCGCUCUCGGGCGAGCCCGCCGGUAAUAUCAGUAUCUCUGUUUGAACCCGACGAUACUUCUGAGUGUUCUUAGCGAACAGUUAAAACUUUUAACAACGGAUCUCUUGGCUCUA